UCCUACGGGAGGCAGCAGUGGGGAAUAUUGCACAAUGGGGGAAACCCUGAUGCAGCAACGCCGCGUGAGUGAAGAAGUCAUUCGUGAUGUAAAGCUCUAUCAGCAGGGAAGAAAAUGACGGUACCUGAGUAAGAAGCCCCGGCUAACUACGUGCCAGCAGCCGCGGUAAUACGUAGGGGGCAAGCGUUAUCCGGAUUUACUGGGUGUAAAGGGAGCGUAGACGGCCAGACAAGUCUGAAGUGAAAAUCC
RNAcentral lists this ribosomal RNA (249 nucleotides) under uncultured bacterium. RNAcentral describes it as "partial 16S ribosomal RNA". It matches the Rfam family "Bacterial small subunit ribosomal RNA", at positions 337 to 603 of the family's 1533-position model. The record is from RNAcentral.